This 75-nucleotide transfer RNA is filed under the name Escherichia coli. RNAcentral's name for it is "tRNA-Gln". It matches the Rfam family "tRNA". From Rfam's summary of the family: Transfer RNA (tRNA) molecules are approximately 80 nucleotides in length. Their secondary structure includes four short double-helical elements and three loops (D, anti-codon, and T loops). RNAcentral also lists the same sequence under 2 other names. The record is from RNAcentral. Lineage: Bacteria; Pseudomonadati; Pseudomonadota; Gammaproteobacteria; Enterobacterales; Enterobacteriaceae.
UGGGGUAUCGCCAAGCGGUAAGGCACCGGUUUUUGAUACCGGCAUUUCCUGGUUCGAAUCCAGGUACCCCAGCCA